This 481-nucleotide ribosomal RNA is filed under the name uncultured bacterium. Its description in RNAcentral is "partial 16S ribosomal RNA". It matches the Rfam family "Bacterial small subunit ribosomal RNA", at positions 28 to 507 of the family's 1533-position model. The record is from RNAcentral.
GAUGAACGCUGGCGGCGUGCUUAACACAUGCAAGUCGAACGAAGCACUUUAUUUGAUUUCCUUCGGGACUGAUUAUUUUGUGACUGAGUGGCGGACGGGUGAGUAACGCGUGGGUAACCUGCCUUGUACAGGGGGAUAACAGUUGGAAACGGCUGCUAAUACCGCAUAAGCGCACAGCAUCGCAUGAUGCAGUGUGAAAAACUCCGGUGGUAUAAGAUGGACCCGCGUUGGAUUAGCUAGUUGGUGAGGUAACGGCCCACCAAGGCGACGAUCCAUAGCCGACCUGAGAGGGUGACCGGCCACAUUGGGACUGAGACACGGCCCAAACUCCUACGGGAGGCAGCAGUGGGGAAUAGUGCACAAUGGGCGAAAGCCUGAUGCAGCGACGCCGCGUGAGCGAAGAAGUAUUUCGGUAUGUAAAGCUCUAUCAGCAGGGAAGAUAAUGACGGUACCUGACUAAGAAGCACCGGCUAAAUACGUG